Molecule: ribosomal RNA, 706 nt
Filed under: uncultured bacterium
Lineage: Bacteria
Description: bacterial SSU rRNA
Rfam family: Bacterial small subunit ribosomal RNA
Source: RNAcentral
AUUAGAUACCCUGGGUAGUCCACACUGUAAACGAUGAUAACUAGGUGUGGGGGGUCUGACCCCUUCCGUGCCGCAGCUAACGCAAUAAGUUAUCCACCUGGGGAGUACGACCGCAAGGUUGAAACUCAAAGGAAUUGACGGGGACCCGCACAAGCAGUGGAUUAUGUGGUUUAAUUCGAAGCAACGCGAAGAACCUUACCAGGACUUGACAUCCUACUAACGAAAUGGAGACAUAUUAGGUGCCCUUCGGGGAAAGUAGAGACAGGUGGUGCAUGGUUGUCGUCAGCUCGUGUCGUGAGAUGUUGGGUUAAGUCCCGCAACGAGCGCAACCCUUAUGUUUAGUUGCUACGCAAGAGCACUCUAGACAGACUGCCGUUGACAAAACGGAGGAAGGUGGGGAUGACGUCAAAUCAUCAUGCCCCUUAUGACCUGGGCUACACACGUGCUACAAUGGGCAGUACAACGAGAAGCGAGCCUGCGAAGGCAAGCGGAUCUCUUAAAGCUGUUCUCAGUUCGGACUGCAGUCUGCAACUCGACUGCACGAAGCUGGAAUCGCUAGUAAUCGCGGAUCAGCACGCCGCGGUGAAUACGUUCCCGGGCCUUGUACACACCGCCCGUCACACCAUGGAAGUCUGCAAUGCCCGAAGCCGGUGGCCUAAAUGUGGAAGGAGCCGUCUAAGGCAGGGCAGAUGACUGGGGCUAAGUC